Molecule: ribosomal RNA, 439 nt
Filed under: uncultured bacterium
Lineage: Bacteria
Description: partial 16S ribosomal RNA
Rfam family: Bacterial small subunit ribosomal RNA
Source: RNAcentral
CUACGGGAGGCUGCAGUGGGGAAUAUUGCACAAUGGACGAAAGUCUGAUGCAGCAACGCCGCGUGGAGGAUGACACAUUUCGGUGCGUAAACUCCUUUUAUAUAGGAAGAUAAUGACGGUACUAUAUGAAUAAGCGCCGGCUAACUCCGUGCCAGCAGCCGCGGUAAUACGGAGGGCGCAAGCGUUACUCGGAAUCACUGGGUGUAAAGAGCGUGUAGGCGGAUAGAUAAGUCAGGAGUGAAAUCCUAUGGCUCAACCAUAGAACUGCUCUUGAAACUGUCUAUCUAGAAUAUGGGAGAGGUAGAUGGAAUUUCUGGUGUAGGGGUAAAAUCCGUAGAGAUCAGAAGGAAUACCGAUUGCGAAGGCGAUCUACUGGAACAUUAUUGACGCUGAGACGCGAAAGCGUGGGGAGCAAACAGGAUUAGAUACCCCGGUAGUC